UACGGGGGGAGCAAGCGUUGUUCGGAUUUACUGGGCGUAAAGGGCGCGUAGGCGGUCGUGACAAGUCACUUGUGAAAUCUCCGGGCUUAACUCGGAACGGUCAAGUGAUACUGUCGGACUAGAGUACAGAAGGGGCAACUGGAAUUCUCGGUGUAGCGGUGAAAUGCGUAGAUAUCGAGAGGAACACCUGCGGCGAAGGCGGGUUGCUGGGCUGAUACUGACGCUGAGGCGCGAAAGCUGGGGGAGCGAACAGG
RNAcentral lists this ribosomal RNA (254 nucleotides) under uncultured bacterium. Its description in RNAcentral is "partial 16S ribosomal RNA". It matches the Rfam family "Bacterial small subunit ribosomal RNA", at positions 524 to 776 of the family's 1533-position model. The record is from RNAcentral.